ACAUGCUCUGGCCGCCCGCGUAUUUAUCUUAGAUCGCUUUUAAUCGUAGCCGUCCAUUCUCACCCCCCCCCCCACAAUCCUAUAAAUAGACUGGGUAGGAAUUCAAUUAUUCCAGCCCAGUUUGUUUUGGUUUGGUUGUUUGUUCAUUGGUUUUCUGCCUUCUCUCUGUGUGAAAAUAAAAAUACAAGGGCAAGAGUUGUUUCUGAUCAAUUUGCAAUUAGUGAUUGUUUGUUUGUGGAUGUAUGAUCAGGUCUGGGUAAUGAUUGAAGGAGAAUGAUUAUAAGUACCUUGUUCUCAUCCUUUCUUUCCUUCCUUGUGUGUUUUGUUCUCAUCCUUUGAUUGAUUGAUAUAUUAAGAAAUUCGAAGCUGGUGAGGUCCAUUCUUAGAUGCAAUUUUGUUGUGAGAUAUCCCCUGUGUUUAUGUUUAUGUUUAUGUUUGCCCUUGAUGAUUGGAUAUAGGGGUUAUUCCGUAUUCUGAAGGUGUACCUACACUAUCUGAGCUCGCAAGUUCCUUCUCUUGAAUCAGAAUACUGGUGGUAGAACUGGAAAUUUCGCUCCCGAUGCCACACUUGGAUUCUAUAUCUAAGCAGGAAAGGGUGGAUAUGUUGACUUCCAUUCUUUAAGCUAAAUUUGAUGCUAAUGUAGUUUUAAUCCCUCUUAUUUCGUUCGGUCAUCUCAUUUCUGUGUGGUGUUAGUCGGAUAUGUACCCAUAGACACUUAUGGUUAUGGACACCUGCUCAAAGUCAAUCCUGGAUCCGACUGAUGAGGUCUCUUCUGGUUAUGGACAUCUCUUAACUACUCCAAGUCAAUCCUGGAUCUUUGAUAACGCCAUGAAGUGCUCCUUUACUUUUGGGUUGAUAGCUACUUAUUUUCUCUCUGCUUCCGUUUUCUUUUGAUUGUCACACCAGCCUGAUUUGUUUGUUGGAUGAAUGCGUAGAUCACACGGUGACAGAUAGAGGAUUGGAUUUGGAAAAUUUGUAUUCGUUCGUGUGCACGUCCUUUUCGUGCUUGCGCUGCAAUCUGGAUAUUGUCGGGCUUCAACAAAAAGGGGGUUUUGAAUCUUGUCUGGCAUUUUUCCUAGUGAUUUCUUAGGUGGUAUGGGUUUCAUCAGCUUUGUUGUUCCCUUCUUUCUGUACUUGCAGCAGCCAUUGGAUCUUGCAGAGCGAUGCAUUAUGCUUUUCAUGUAACGGCCUUGUUUCUCCAUUUGUGUCGAGGUUUCUUUAGUUCAGGCUUUUAUGAAUACAGAAAUUUUCAUUUCUCAACCCAUAUAGUUUCUUUCACUUGUAUUAGUUCUAUUCUGCUGCCGUUUUUAGUUUUUUAGUACAGAUGCUUAUGUUCUUUGACCAUCCAACUGAUGACGCCCUGGUGAUUGAUGGUUAUGGACACCUGAUUAAGUACUUGAAGUCAGUUCUGGAUAUUUCGUUAGCCCCAUAAAGUGCGCCUCUUUUUGGUUUUCUUGCUGCUUAUUUUCUCUGCUGCCGUUUCUUCUGUUUAUCACACGAGCUUGAUUUUUUUUGUUAGAUGGAUGUGUCGUAACAGUUCAGAGGAUUAGAUUUGGAAUGAAAAUUUCAAAGGUUGGUGCCCAGUAUAUGUUUGUGUGCACCCGGUUUCUUGCCAUUUUGGUGCUUGCACUACAAUCUGGAUAUUGUCGGGCUUCGACAAAAAGGGGGUUUCGAAUCUUGUGUCUGGCAUUUUCCCUAGUGAUUUCUUAGGUAGUAGGGAUUACAUCAGCUUUUGUACUUAACUGUUCCCUUCUUUCUAUGCUUGCAGCAGCCAUUGGGUCUUACAGAACCAUGAAUGCUUUACAUGGAAUGGCCUUGUUUGUCCAUUUGUGUCGAGGUUCCUUCAGCUCAGGCUUUUAUGAGUGCAUAAAUUAUCAUUUCUCAACCAAAAUAGUUUUUUUCACUAGUGUUUGUUUAUUCUGGUGCCAUUUUUAGUUUUUUAGUACAGAUGCUUAUGUUCUUUCACCAUACAACUGAUGAGGCCCUAGUGGUUGAUGGUUACGGACACCUGAUUUAGUACUUGAAUCGUAAAGUGCUCCUCUCUUUUGGUGUUCUCGCUGCUUAUUUUCUCUGCUGCCGUUUCUUUUGUUUAUCACGCAAGCUUGAUUUUGUUUGUUGGAUGGAUGUGUGGUAACAGUUAAGAGGAUUAGAUUUCGAAAUUUCAAAGGUUGGUGUCCAGUAUGCGUUUGUGUGCACCCUGUUUCUUGCCAUUUUGGUGCUUGCACUACAAUCUGGAUAUUGUCUUUUGCUGCGACAAAAAGGGGGUUUCGAACCUUGUCUGGAAUUUUUCCUAGUGAUUUCUUAGGUAGUAGGGGUUGUAUCAGCUUUUGUACUUUUAACUGUUCCCUUCUUUCUAUGCUUGCAGCAGCCAUUGGGUCUUACAGAACCAUGAAUGCUUUUCAUGGAACGGCCUUGUUUGUCCAUUUGUGUCGAGUUUCCUUCAGCUUAGGCUUUUGUGAGUGCAUAAUUAUCAUUUCUCAACCAAAAUAGUUUUUUUCACUAGUGUUUGUUUAUUCUGGUGCCAUUUUUAGUUUUUUAGUACAGAUGCUUAUGUUCUUUGACCAUCCAACUGAUAAGGCCCUGGUGGUUGAUGGUUAUGGGGACCUGAUUUAGUACUUGAAUCGUAAAGUGCUCCUCUUUUUUGGUGUUCUCGCUGCUUAUUUUCUCUGUUGCCGUUUGUUCUGUUUAUCACGCAAGCUUGAUUUUGUUUGAUGGAUGGAUGUGUGGUAACAGUUAAGAGGAUUAGAUUUUGAAAUUUCAAAGGUUGGUGUCCAGUAUGUGUUUGUGUGCACCCUGUUUGUUGCCAUUUUGGUGCUUGCACUACAAUCUGGAUAUUGUCUUUGCUGCCACAAAAAGGGGGUUUCGAAUCUUGUCUCUGCUUCCACCUUAGUUUUUAGUCCAGAUGCUUGUGGUCUUUGACCAUCCAACUGAUGGCCCGGGCGGUUGAUGGUUAUGGACACUUGAUUAAGUUCUAAAGUCAGUUCUGGAUAUUCUUAGCCCCGUAAAGUGCUCCUUUGUUCUGGUUUUCUCGCUACUGAUUUUCUCUGUUUCCGUUCUCUUCUGUGAAUCACGCAGCUUGAUUUUGUUUCUUGGAUGUGUUGAUUUGGUAUUAAUGAUUAAGAUUGAGAUGUUGAUUUGAUAUUGAUGAUUAAGAUUGAUAGCUUAAUUUUAGGAAUAUAUUGUAUUGAUGUAAAUGAUUAGGAAUUGAUUGUGUAAUAUUGUCUUUUCUUAUUUAGUCUUAGAACUCAUUGGGUACUUAUACUUCUUAUGGAUUGUAUAUUCAUUCAGAAAUACAAGAAGCCCUUUCUUCUUGCUAAAAAUCUUCAUGGUAUCAGAGCCAUUGCUGCCUUUUUGAGGUGACUUUUCUCCUUCGCAGCACUAGGGUUCCGUGUUUUAUCAAAGAGGUCGAGUUUUUCUCUCUUUGUGGCUGUCCGCACAAAAAACUCCUCCCGUUCAGUUCGUUUCUGGAUUAUUUUUCUCUGUUGGGGUCGCUGGAACAUUCUGAGCCUAUCCCUAUCAGUUUUGAUUUUUUCCGAUCACCGGAAUUAGGAUUCCCGCGUGGCAGCCAACUUCCCGGCGAUUUUUUUAGGAUUUUGUUUUUUCAGUUCUCGGGUCGUAGGCCUAUUCUAACCCUUCCCAUUUAGAUAAUAUGGGUGACACUACUUCUGGAGAGACUUUGUCUCAGGAUGAAGUUCCAAUAUCUUCGCCGUCUUCUGAACAAACUUGACUCUUCUAGUAUUGCUAGCCCCAAUUAUGUGCAGUCAGGUAUUGCUUUUAAUGCUCAGCUUAAUUGUUGGAUUAUUGAUUCUGGUGCGAAUAGACACAUGACAGGCUCUUCUAAAGGCCUUCAAAAUUACUCUCCUAGUCCCAAAGGGGAUUAUGUCAGAAUAGUCAAUGGCUCCCUAACCCUUGUCUCUGGAACAAGUUCAAUCUUUUGUACUCUUGAUAUUACCUUAUCAUCCAUUCUUUAUGUGCUUGAUUUUCCUAUUAACCUAUUAUCUGUUAGCGCUAUCACCAAAGAACUAAACUGUAGUGUCAGAUUCUUUCGUGAUUAUUGUGUUUUUGAAGACCUCUUCAUACAGGGAAGAAGAUUGGCAGUGAUAGAUUGCAUGAUGGCUUAUAUUUGAUCGGUGGAACUCGAGACUCUGGUCAGGCCUUUUUUUGUAGGAAAUAAGGAUGUCAACCGAGAAAUAAUACAGUGGCAUAGACGGUUGGGACACCUAUCUUUUUUUGCUUUAAAAAAGUUAUACCCUGGUUUAUUUUCUAGAACUGAGUUUGAAUCUUUGUCUUGUGAUGCAUGUGAAUAGGCCAAGCACACUAAAAACUCUUAUCCUCUGAGUGACAAUAAAAGCACAAUUCCCUUUUCAACUAUUCAUUCUGAUGUCUGGGGUCCUGCUCAAACACUUUCUUUGUCUGGUAGUCUAUGGUUUGUUAUUUUUAUCGAUUGUUGCACUAGAAUGACAUGGGUAUAUCUGUUAAAAGCCAAAAGUGAAGUUUUCUCCUGUUUUAAGUCAUUUCAUAAGAUGAUUUGUACUCAGUUUGAGGCUAAGAUAAAGAUAUUUCGAACUGACAAUGGCACAUAAUACAUGGAUAAAACUUUUGGAGCUUACUUGGAGUCUUUUGUGAUAAUCCAUCAAACUAGUUGUCCUUAUACUAGUGCACAAAAUGGGGUUGCUGAAAGAAAAAAUAGGCAUUUGUUAGAAGUAGCAAGAUCCCUUUUGUUUACCAUGAAUCUGCCGAAGCCUUAUUGGGGGGAUGCCAUUCUAGUAGCUGCCUACCUCAUCAAUAGAAUGCCACUUAAAACUCUUAAUUUCCGGAGUCCUUUAGAAGCUUUAAAGGGUAAAAAUGACUAUACUGUUCCUCCAAAGAUAUUUGGGUGUGUUUGCUUUGUUCACGCUAGGAACUCUAGGAAACUUGAACCUAGAGCUUUUAAAUGUGUCUUUAUUGGGUAUUCUCCAACACAGAAAGGGUACAAAUGUUAUCACCCUCCUCUAGGAGAUUCUUUGUCAGUAUGGAUGUUACUUUUCGGGAAUCUGAGCCCUAUUUCAGUAUUACACCAUCACCUCUUCAGGGGGAGAAUUAUAAGGGGGAGAAUUAUAAGGAAGAAGAGAUGGUUUUUCCUAGUUCUAUUGUUGAAACUACUGCCACAAGGGAAAGUGAAAUUGAAGAAAGAAUUCAGGGGGAGACUAUUGAAACUACUGCCAUAAGAGAAAGUGAAACUUAAGAAAGAAUUCAGGGGGAGACUGUUGGGCGUUUGGAUAGGCCUGAUUUGAUAACUUAUUCAAGGAGAAAUAGAGCAGAAGAAGCCAUCAUGCAACUUGCCGAAGCCGAACCUUCUUCUUCUGGUGAGUUAUCUAUACUUCGUAAUGAGUUAGAUUUGCCUAUUGCUCACAGGAAAGGAGUCAGAUCUUGCACUAAACACCCUUUAUCUAACUUUGUUUUCUAUAAUUCUUUAUCGCCCUCCUAUAGAGCCUUUGCCUUGUCUAUUUCUUCUGUGUCUAUUCCCCAGAAUUGGAGGGAAGCUUUUGCAGAUUUUAAGUGGAAGCAAGCUAUGAUGGAAGAAAUGAAGGCCUUACCAAAGGAUGAGACUUGAGAACUUGUCGCAUCACCCCCAAACAAGAAGUUGGUUGGUUGCAAAUGGGUCUUCACUGUAAAACAUAAAGCUGAUGGUUCCAUUGAAAGGUUCAAAGCAAGAUUAGUGGCUAAAGGAUUCACUCAGACUUAUGGAGUGGAUUAUCAAGUGACAUUUGCUCUUGUUGCAAAAAUGAAUACUAUUAGAAUUCUUCUAUCUUGUGCAGCUAAUCUUGACUGGGACUUGCAACAGUUUGAUGUGAAGAAUGCAUUUCUUCAUGGAGAUUAGACGAAGAGGUGAACAUAGAGAUUCCUCCUGGUUUUGGUACUGAACAAAGUCAAGGAAAGGUAUGCAGACUGAAGAAAGCCUUGUACGGAUUGAAGCAAUCUCCCUAGAGCUUGGUUUGAUAGAUUCUAUAAAGCAAUGAUCUCCUUUGGUUACCAACAAAGCAAUGCGGAUCACACCCUCUUUAUAAGACAUUUAAAGGGUAAACUCACUCUUCUCAUAGUUUAUGUUGAUGACAUAGUAAUGACAGGAGAUGACAAAGAGGAGAUGACCCGAUUGAAGAAGUCGUUGGCACAGGAAUUUGAUAUCAAGGAUCUAGGAAAAUUGCAGUACUUCUUGGGAAUUGAAGUUGCUAGAUCAAAAAAAGGAAUCUUUAUUUCUCAAAGAAAGUAUAUUCUGGAUCUCUUGAAAGAAACAAGUAUGAUAGGUUGCAAACCAGCAGAAUCACCCAUAGAAAGCAAUCACAAACUACAAAGCGGAGUUGGGAAGUCAGUUGAUAAAGAGAGAUAUCAGAGGCUGGUUGGAAGACUCAUUUAUCUCUCUCACACUAAACCAGACAUAGCCUAUUUAGUCAGCCUAGUGAGUCAAUUUAUGCAUGAUCAUUUAGAUCCUCAUAUGCAAGCUGUCUUUCACAUUUUGCGGUAUCUGAAGUCUGCUCCAGGAAAAGGUGUACUUUACUCCAGACAUGGUCACCUUCAAAUAGAAGCCUUUACUGAUGCAGAUUGGGCUGGAUCUUUAGAUGACAGAAGGUCUACAUCCGGUUACUGUACACUCGUAGGAGGAAACUUGGUCACUUGGAGAAGCAAGAAACAAAGUGUAGUUGCUAGAUCAAGUGCAGAGGCAGAAUAUAGAGCUAUGGCCCAGGGUGUUUGCGAACUUUUGUGGUUACAAAAGUUACUAGAAGAAUUGAGAUUGUCUUAAAAAAGGAAAUUUUCCUUGUAUUGUGACAACAAGGCUGCAAUCAGUAUAGCUCGAAAUCCAGUCCAGCAUGACCGAAUAAAGCACGUUGAAAUUGAUCGACACUUCAUCAAAGAAAAAGUCACAGGUGGUGUCUUGAGUUUAUUCCACGUGUCAUCAGAAAAACAACUAGCUGAUGUGUUUACUAAAGGCCUCAACAAACGGACUGUUCAUACACUGGUUUGCAAGUUGGGCAUGUGCGACAUCUUUGCACCAACUUGAGGGGGAGUGUUGAUUUGGUAUUAAAAUGAUUAAGAUUGAGAUGUUGAUUUGAUAUUGAUGAUUAAGAUUGAUAGCUUAAUUUUAGGAAUAUAUUGUAUUGAUGUAAAUGAUUAGGAAUUGAUUGUGUAAUAUUGUCUUUCCUUAUUUAGUCUUAGAACUCAUGUAUAAGUACCCAUUCUUAUGGAUUGUAUAUUCAUUUAGAAAUACAAGAAGCCCUUUCUUCUUGCUAAAAAUCUUCAGGAUGGAUGUCUGGUAACAGUUAAGAAAAUUAGAUUUGGAAAUUUCAGAGGCUGGUGUCCAGUAUGCGUUGCUGUGCACCCGGUUUCUUGCCAUUUUGGUGCUUGCACUACAAUCUGGAUAUUGUCUUGCUGCGACAGAAAGGGGGUUUCGAAUCUCGUCUCUGGCAUUUUUCCUAGUGAUUUCUUAGGUAGUAGGGGUUACAUCAGCUUUGCACUUAACCGUUCCCUUCUUUCUGUGCUAGCAGCAGCCAUUACAGAACCAUGAAUUAUGCUUUUCAUGGAAUGGCCUUGUUUGUCCAUUUGUGUUGAGGUUUCUUUAGUUUAGGCUUGUAUGAGUACAGAAAUUUUCAUUUCUCAACUAAAAUAGUUUUCUCUCUCUAGCGUUUGUUGUGUUCUGCUGCCAUUUUUUUAGUGUUUAGUCCUGAUGCUUAUGUUCUUCGACGAUCCAACUGAUGAGGCCUUGGUGAUUGAUUAUGGACCUGUUCUCGCUGCUUAUUUUCUCUGCUACUGUAUUCUUCCUUCUGUUUAUCAGGCUAGCUUGAUUUUGUUUGUUGGAUGGAUGUGCCGGUAACAGUUGAUUAGAUUUGGAAAUUUCAGUAUGCAUUCCUCUACACCCCCAUCUUGGUGCUUGUACUCCAAUCUGGAUAUUGUCAGGCUUCGACAAAAAAGGGGGUUUUCAACCUGGCUCUUGCAUAUGUAGUGAUAUCUGAGGUGGUAUGGGUUUUGUCAGCUUUGCACUUAACUGUUCCCUUCUUUCUGUGCUUGCAGCCAUGAGCAGUGACUUCUUUUGUGGAGCGAUCGUGUUUGUCUAUUUGAGCUUAAGGUUCUGUAGUUCAGUCUUUUAUGAGUAUCGAGAUUGUCAUUCAGUUCUCUUUCCUAAUGGUCCCUGUUCUCUUUGUUGAAAGUUGAAACUGCUGUUGUAUUGAAGUUUCUCAAAGAUAAUAUUUUUCACCAGUGUGUAAUUUCUGCUGUGAUGAAGUUUUAACUCCAGAUGCUUAUGUUCUUCGAUGAUCCAACCGCUGAGGUGUCUCCUAUGGUUAUGGGCACCCAAUAAGUACGGUCAAUUUUGGAUCCUUUGAUAGCGCCGUAAAGUGUCUCUCUACCUUUGGUCUUCUUGCUACUUAUUUUCUCUGUUUUCUGUUGGUUAUCACGCCACUUGUCUGCUCUUUUUUGUUGGAUGGAUGUUUAGAUCAUAUGGUGACAGUAACAGAGGUUAAGAUUUGGAAAUUUUGAAGGUUGGUAUCCAGUAUGCGUUCCUCUACACCCUCUUGGUCUUUUUGGUGGUUGCACUGCAAUCUGGAUUUUUCCGGGCUUCGACAAAAGGGGGGUUUUCAAUCUUUUCUGGCAUUUUCUUGUGAUUUCCUAGGUUAUUGUAUGGGCUUCGCCAGCUUUGCACACCCUUUUUACCCUUUUUUUUUGGGUUGUUUUAUUUUGUUGCAUCAUCUUGUGUUUUCAAGCUUGAAUUAUGUUUUUACCACUUGAAAAAGACACCCUAUAACUGUUCCCUUCUUUCGGUGCUUGCAGUUGGUGGGUUUUAUGAGCAGUGAAUCCUUCUUUUCAUGGAGUGGCCUUGUUUGUCAAUUUUGGUUGAGGUUUCUUUAAUUAAUGCUUUUAAUGAUUAUCUAGAUUUUUAGUUCAGUUUCCUUCCCUAAUAAGAGUGGUUCCCAUCUCUCUCUGUCAACUCCUCAUUUAAAAUUACUUUUUCACUAGCGUGUUGUAUUCUGCUGCCAUCUUUAUUGUUUUAAGUCCAGAUGCUUAUGUUCUAUGGUGAUCCAACUGAUGAGAUGCCUGAUGGCUAUGGACACAUGAUAAGCACUCUUUAACUCAAUUAAUUUUGGAUCUUCUGAUAGCCCUGUAAAGUAAAACCCUAAAUUGGUGUUCUCGCUUCUUAUCUUCUCCGCUUCCGCUUUCUUUUGUUUGACACACCAUUUGAUUUUAUUCGGUUGGAUAGAUGUUUGUAGACCACAGUGUGAUAGUGAUAGAUGGUUUGAUAUUUCGAAGUCUGUGCAUCAAGGAAAGGGAUUUUCCCAAUCUUGUCUAUGGUAUCUCUAGUGAUUUCUUAGGCGUUAUGGGUUUCCUCGACUUUGCACUUAACUAUUCCCUUCUUUCCUUUGCUUGCAGCUUUUGUGGAGCGAUCAUGUUUGUCUAUUUUAAGCAGAGGUUUCUUUAGUUCAUUCUUUUACGAGUAUCGAGAUUUUCAUUCAGUUCUCUUCCGUAAUGGUCCCUUUUCACUUUGUUGAAACUACUGUUGUAGUGAAGUUACUCAGCUAGGAUAAUAUUCUCGCCAGUGUGUUAUAUUCUGCUGCGAUGAAGUUUUUACUCCAGAUGCUUAUGUUCUUCGAUGAUUCAAUCGGUGACAGUAACAAAGCACUUAACUUGUCCCUUCUUUCCGUGCUUGCAGCCAUUGGGUUUACAGAGCAGUGAAUUACCCUUUUUUGGAGCGGCCUUGUUUGUACAUUAUGUUGAGGUUUCUUUAGUUCAGUCUUUUUUGAGCAUUGAGAUUCUCAAUUCAGUUUUCUUGGCUAAAUGCUCCUUUUUCUCUUUGUCAAAACUACUGUUGUGUGGAGGUUUAACUGAGAUAAUAUUUUUCACCUGUAGUGUUGUAUUCUGCUUCCAUGAGGUUCUUAGUCCAGAUGGUUAUGUUCUUCGAUGAUCCAACUGAUGAGGUCUCUUAUAGUUAUGGACAGCUGAUAAGCACUCGGUCAUUUUCUGAUAGCACUGUAAAGUGCUCCUCCACUUUUGGUCUUCUAGCCCACUUUUCUUCUCUGCUUCCAGUUUCUUUUGGUUAUCACGCGACUUGUUUUAUUUUUGUUGUAUGGAUGUGUAGACCAUAUGGUGACAGUUACAGAGGUUAUGAUUUGGAAAUUUCAGAGGUACCUCCAUUAUGCUUUCCUCUGCACCCUCUUGGUAUUUUUGGUGCUUGCUCUGCAAUCCGGAUAUUGUUAAGUUUCGACAGAAAGGCGGUUAUUCAAUUUUGUCUAUGGCAUCUUUAGUGAUUUCUAGGUGGUUUGGGUUUGGUCAGCUUUGCACUUGACUGUUUCCUUCUUUCUGUGCUUGCAGCCAUGGGUCUCAUAGAGCAGUGAAGUACUCUUUUCAUGGAGCAGGUCUUGUUUGUCCACGUGUGUUGAUGUUUCUUUAGUUCAGUCUUCUAUGAGUAUCAGGAUUUUCAGUUCAGUUUUCCUUCCUAAUCAGUGUGCUUCCCUUCACUUAUGUUUUUUUUUUUUUUUUUCCACUUAUGUGUGUUGUGUUCUGCUACCAUGUCUUUUUACGUAAGCAGAUUGUAUAUAUUAAGAAAAGGAGAAAGCUUAGGACCAAGCUGGUGCUAGGACCUUACAUUAUGAUCUUUCUAACAAAAACACAUAUUCUGCUCCCAUUUUUAGUUUUUGGUCUAGAUACUUGCUUAUGUUCCUUGAUGACCCUGAUGAGGUCCCUGAUGGUCCAUACUUAUGGACAUUUGGUAAGUACUCAAAAGUCGCUUCUGGAUCUUCGGUAGCCCUGUACAGUGUUCUUCUCUCUUGGUGUUCUUGCUGCUUUUCUUCUGCUUCUGUUCUCUUUUUGUGUGGUGACAGUUGUAGUGGAUUAGAUUUGCAAAGUUCAAAGGUUGGUGUCCAGUGUGUGUUCCUCUGCAGCAUGUUUCUUGGCCAUUUUUGUGCUUGCACUGCGAUUUGGAUAUUAUCAGGGCUUCGAGAAAAUGGAGUUUUUGAUCUUGUGUGUUACCUCCAGUGAUUUCCUAGUUGGUAUGGGUUUCACCUGCUUUGUCCACUGAGCUGCAUUCCCUUCUUUUGGUGCUUGCAGCUGUUGGGUCUUACAGAUCUUUUCAUGGAGCGGCGUUGUUUGUCAAUUUGCAUCGAGGUUUCUUUAGUUAACUACUCAAAGUCGAUCCAGGAUCUUUGAUGACGCCAUGAAGUGCUCCUUUACUUUUGGGUUUCUAGCUACUUAUUUUCUCUCUGCUUCCGUUUUCUUUUGAUUAUCACACCAGCCUGAUUUUGUCUGUUGGAUGAAUGCGUAGAUCACACGGUGACAGAUAGAGGAUUGGAUUUGGAAAAUUUGUAUUCGUUCGUGUGCACGUACUUUUCGUGAUUGCACUACAAUCUGGAUAUUGUCGGGCUUCAACAAAAAGGGGGUUUCGAAUCUUGUCUCUGGCAUUUUUCCUAGUGAUUUCUUAGGUGGUAUGGGUUUCAUCAGCUUUGUUGUUCUCUUCUUUCUGUGCUUGCAGCAGCCAUUGGGUCUUGCAGAGCAAUGCAUUAUGCUUUUCAUGUAACGGCCUUGUUUGUCCAUUUGUGUCGAGGUUUCUUUAGUUCAGGCUUUUAUGAAUACAGAAAUUUUCAUUCCUCAACCCAUAUAGUUUCUUUCACUUGUAUUAGUUCUAUUCUGCUGCCGUUUUUAGUUUUUUAGUACAGAUGCUUAUGUUCUUUGACCAUCCAACUGAUGACGCCCUGGUGAUUGAUGGUUAUGGACACUUGAUUAAGCACUUGAAGUCAGCCAUUUUUGUGCUUGCACUACAAUCUGGAUAUUGUCGGGCUUCGACAAAAAGGGGGUUUCGAAUCUUGUGUCUUGCAUUUUUCCUAGCGAUUUCUUAGGUAGUAGGGGUUACAUCAGCCUUUGUACUUAACUGUUCCCUUCUUUAUAUGCUUGCAGCAGCAAUUGGGUCUUACAUAACCAUGAAUGCUUUUCAUGGAACGGCCUUGUUCUCGGUGCUUAUUUUCUCUGCUACUGUAUUCUUCCUUCUGUUUAUCCGGCUAGCUUGAUUUUUUGUUUGUUGGAUGGAUGUGCCGGUAACAGUUGAUUAGAUUUGGAAAUUCAGUAUGCAUUCCUCUACACCCCCAUUUUGGUGCUUGUACUCCAAUCUGGAUAUUGUCAGGCUUCAACAAAAAAGGGGGCUUUCAACCUGGUUCUUGCAUAUGUAGUGAUAUCUGAGGUGGUAUGGGUUUUGUCAGCUUUGCACUUAACUGUUCCUUCUUUCUGUGCUUGCAGCCAUGAGCACUACCUCUUUUCGUGGAGCGAUCAUGUUUGUCUAUUUGAAUUAAGGUUCUGUAGUUCAGUCUUUUAGGAGUAUUGAGAUUUUCAUUCAGUUCUCUUUCCUAAUGGUCCCUGUCCUCUUUGUUGAAAGUUGAAACUGCUGUUGUAUUGAAGUUUCUCAAAGAUAAUACUUUUCACCAGUGUGUUAUAUUCUGCUGCGAUGAUGUUUUAACUCCAGAUGCUUAUGUUCUUCGAUGGUCCAACCGCUGAGGUGUCUCCUAUGGUUAUGGGCAUCCGAUAAGUAUCGUCAAUUUUGGAUCCUUUGAUAGCGCCGUAGUGUCCCUCUACCUUUGGUCUUCUAGCUACUACUUAUUUUCUCUGUAUUCUGUUGGUUAUCACGCCGCUUGUCUGCUCUUUUUUGUUGGAUGGAUGUUUAGAUCAUAUGGUGACAAUAACAGAGGUUAAGAUUUGGAAAUUUCGAAGGUUGGUGUCCAGUAUGCAUUCCUCUGCACCCUCUUGGUCUUUUUGGUGCUUGCACUGCAAUCUGGAUUUGUCCGGGCUUUGACAAAAAGGGGGUUUUUCAAUAUUUUCUGGCAUUUUCUAGUGAUUUCCUGGGUUGUUGUAUGGGCUUCGCCAGCUUUGCACUUAACCGUUCCCUUCUUUCGGUGCUUGCAGUUGGUGGGUUUUAUUAGCAGGGAAUCCUUCUUUUCAUGGAGUAUCCUUGUUUGUCAAUUUUGGUUGAGGUUUCUUUAAUUAAUGCUUUUAAUGAUUAUCUAGAUUUUCAAUUCAGUUUCCUUCCCUAAUAAGAGCGGUUCUCAUCUCUCUCUGUCAACUCCUCAUUUAAAAUUACUUUUUCACUAGCGUGUUGUAUUCUGCUGCCAUCUUUAUUUUUUUAAGUCCAGAUGCUUAUGUUCUAUGGUGAUCCAACUGAUGAGAUCCCUGAUGGCUAGGGACACAUGAUAAGUUCUCUUUAACUCAAGUAAUUUUGGAUCUUUUGAUAGCCCUGUAAAUUGGUGUUCUCGCUUCUUAUCUUCUCUGCUUCCGCUUUCUUUUGUUUAACACACCAUUUGAUUUUGUUCAGUUGGAUAGAUGUUUGUGGACCACAUGGUGAUAGUGAUAGAUGGUUUGAUAUUUCGAAGUAUGUGCAUCAAGGAAAGGGAGUUUCCCAAUUUUGUCUGACUCCUCUAAUGAUCUCUUGUGUGCCAUGAGCAGUGACUUCUUCUUUUCGUGGAGCGAUCAUGUUUGUCUAUUUGAGCUGAGCCAUUGGGUUUUACAGAUGAGUGAAUCACCCUUUUUUGGAGCGGCCUUGUUUGUACAUUAUGUUGAGUGUGUUGUAUUCUGCUUCCAUGAGGUUCUUAGUCCAGGUGGUUAUGCUCUUCGAUGAUCCAACUGAUGAGGUCUCUUAUAGUUAUGGACAGCAGCUGAUAAGCACUCGGUCAUUUUCUGAUAGCACUGUAAAGGCUCCUCCACUUUUGGUCUUCUAGCCUACUUAUCUUCUUUGCUUCCAGUUUCUUUUGGUUAUCACGCGACUUGUUUUAUUUUUGUUGUAUGGAUGUGUAGACCAAUAUGGUGACAGUUACAGAGGUUAUGAUUUGGAAAUUUCAGAGGUUGGUAUCCAGUAUGCUUUCCUCUGCACCUUUUUGGUAUUUUUGGUGCUUGCUCUGCAAUCCGGGUAUUGUUAGGUUUCGACAGAAAGGCGGUUUUUUAAAUCUUGUCUAUGGCAUCUUUAGUGAUUUCUAGGUGGUUUGGGUUUGGUCAGCUUUGCACUUAACUGUUUCCUUCUUUCUGUGCUUGCAGGCAUGGGUCUCAUAGAGCAGUAGAGUACUCUUUCAUGGAGCGGGUCUUGUUUGUCCACGUGUGUUGAUGUUUCUUUAGUUCAGUCUUCUCUUGAGCUGAGGGUCUUUCGGAAAUAGCCUCCCUACCUCCCAAGGUGGGGGUAAGGUCUGCGUACACUUUACCCUCCCCGGACCCCACAUUGGGAUUUCACUGGAUCACACGGUGACAGAUAGAGGAUUGGAUUUGGAAAAUUUGUAUUCGUUCGUGUGCACGUACUUUUCGUGAUUGCACUACAAUCUGGAUAUUGUCGGGCUUCAACAAAAAGGGGGUUUUGAAUCUUGUCUCUGGCAUUUUUCCUAGUGAUUUCUUAGGUGGUAUGGGUUUCAUCAGCUUUGUUGUUCUCUUCUUUCUGUGCUUGCAGCAGCCAUUGGGUCUUGCAGAGCGAUGCAUUAUGCUUUUCAUGUAACGGCCUUGUUUGUCCAUUUGUGUCGAGGUUUCUUUAGUUCAGGCUUUUAUGAAUACAGAAAUUUUCAUUUCUCAACCCAUAUAGUUUCUUUCACUUGUAUUAGUUCUAUUCGGCUGCCGUUUUUAGUUUUUUAGUACAGAUGCUUAUGUUCUUUGACCAUCCAACUGAUGACGCCCUGGUGAUUGAUGGUUAUGGACACCUGAUUAAGCACUUGAAGUCAGUUCUGGAUAUUUCGUUAGCCCCAUAAAGUGCGCCUCUUUUUGGUUUUCUCGCUACUUAUUUUCUCUGCUGCUGUUUCUUCUGCUUAUCACACAAGCUUGAUUUUGUUUGUUGGAUGGAUGUGUGGUAACAGUUCAGAGGAUUAGAUUUGAAAUGGAAAUUUCAAAGGUUGGUGUCCAGUAUGUGUUUGUGUGCAGCCGGUUUCUUGCCAUUUUGGUGCUUGCACUACAAUCUGGAUAUUGUCGGGCUUCGACAAAAAGGGGGUUUCGAAUCAUGUGUCUGGCAUUUUUCCUAGCGAUUUCUUAGGUAGUAGGGGUUACAUCAGCUUUUGUACUUUUUUUUUUGCUUGCAGCAGUAAUUGGGUCUUACAGAACCAUGAAUGCUUUUCAUGGAACGGCCUUGUUUGUCCAUUUGUGUCGAGGUUCCUUCAGCUCAGGCUUUUAUGAGUGCAUAAAUUAUCAUUUCUCAACCAAAAUAGUUUUUUUCACUAGUGUUUGUUUAUUCUGGUGCCAUUUUUAGUUUUUUAGUACAGAUGCUUAUGUUCUUUCACCAUCCAACUCAUGAGGCCCUGGUGGUUGAUGGUUAUGGACACGUGAUUAAGUACUUGAAAUCAGUUCUGGAUAUUUCGAUAGCCCCCGUAAAGUGCUCCUCUCUUUUGGUGUUCUCGCUGCUUAUUUUCUCUGGUGCCGUUUCUUCUGUUUAUCACGCAAGCUUGAUUAUGUUUGUUGGAUGGAUGUGUGGUUACAGUUAAGAAGAUUAGAUUUGGAAAUUUCAAUGGUUGGCGUCCAGUAUGCGUUUGUGUGCACCCUGUUUCUUGCCAUUUUGGUGCUUGCACUACAAUCUGGAUAUUGUCUUUUCUGCGACAAAAAGGGGGUUUCGAAUCUCGUCUCUGGCAUUUUUCCUAGUGAUUUGUUAGGUAGUAUGGGUUACAUCAGCUUUGCACUUAACUCUUCCGUUCUUUCUGUGCUUGCAGCAGCCAUUGGGUCUUACAGAGCCAUGAAUUAUUCUUUUCAUGGAGUGGCCUUGUUUGUCCAUUUGUGUUGAGGUUUCUUUAGUUUAGGCUUUUAUGAGUCCAGAAAUUUGCAUUCUCAACUAAAAUAGUUUUCUCUCUAGUGUUUGUUGUGUUCUGCUGCCAUUUUUAGUGUUUAGUCCAGAUGCUUAUGUUCUUCGACGAUCCAACUGAUGAGGCCUUGGUGGUUGAUUAUGGACCUGUUCUCGCUGCUUAUUUUCUCUGCUGCUGUAUUCUUCUGUUUAUCAGGCUAGCUUGAUUUUGUUUGUUGGAUGGAUGUGCCGGUAACAGUUGAUUAGAUUUGGAAAUUUCAGUAUGCAUUCCUCUACACCCCCAUUUUGGUACUUGUACUCCAAUCUGGAUAUUGUCAGACUUCGACAAAAAAGGGGGUUUUCAACCUUGCUCUUGCAUAUCUAGUGAUAUCUGAGGUGGUAUGGGUUUUGUCAGCUUUGCACUUAACUGUUCCCUUCUUUCUGUGCUUGCAGCCAUGAGCAGUGACUUCUUUUCGUGGAGCGAUCAUGUUUGUCUAUUUGAGCUAAGGUUCUGUAGUUCAGUCUUUUAUGAGUAUCGAGAUUUGCAUUCAGUUCUCUUUCCUAAUGGUCCCUUUUCUCUUUGUUGAAAGUUGGAACUGCUGUUGUAUUGAAGUUUCUCAAAGAUAAUAUUUUUCACCAGUGUGUUAUAAUCUGCUGCGAUGAAGUUUUAGCUCCAGAUGCUUAUGUUCUUCGAUGGUCCAACCGCUGAGGUGUCUCCUAUGGUUAUGGGCCCCCGAUAAGUACUGUCAAUUUUGGAUCCUUUGAUAGCGCCGUAAAGUGUCCCUCUACCUUUGGUCUUCUAGCUACUUAUUUUCUCUGUUUUCUGUUGGUUAUUCACGCCACUUGUCCCUCUGUUUUUUGUUGGAUGGACGUGUAGAUCAUAUGGUGACAGUAACAGAGGUUAAGAUUUGGAAAUUUCCGAAGGCUGGUGUCCAGUAUGCGUUCCUCUGCACCCUCUUGGUCUUUUUGGUGCUUGCACUGCAGUCUGGAUUUGUCCGGGUUUCGACAAAAAGGGGCUUUUUUGAAUCUUUUCUGGCAUUUUCUAGUGAUUUCCUGGGUUGUUGUAUGGGCUUCGCCAGCUUUGCACUUAACUGUUCUCUUCUUUCUGUGCUUGCAGUUGGUGGGUUUUAUUAGCAGGGAAUCCUUCUUUUCAUGGAGUGGCCUUGUUUGCCAAUUUUGGUUGAGGUUUCUUUAAUUAAUGCUUUUAAUGGUUAUCUAGAUUUUCAAUUCAGUUUCCUUCCCUGAUAAGAGUGGUUCUCAUCUCUCCCUUUCAACUCCUCAUUUAAAUUACUUUUUCACUAUCGUGUUGUAUUCUGCUGCCAUCUUUAUUUUUUUUAGUCCAGAUGCUUAUGUUCUAUGGUGAUCCAACUGAUGAGAUCCCUGACGGCUCCGCUUCCGCUUUCUUUUGUUUAACACCAUUUGAUUUUAUUCGGUUGGAUAGAUGUUUGUGGACCACAUGGUGAUAGUGAUAGAUGGUUUGAUAUUUCGAAGUAUGUGCGUCAAGGAAAGGGAGUUUCCCAAUCUUGUCUGGCUCCUCUAAUGAUCUCGUGUGGUAUGGGUUUUCCGAACUUUGCACUUAACUGCUCCCUUAUUUCUGUUCUUGCAGCCAUUGGGGCUUAUGGACCAGUGAAUGCUUCUUUUCAUGGUGCCGACCUUGUUUGUUAAGAUCUGUUUGGAGGUUUCUUUAGUUCAGUUAUGAUUAUUGAGAUAUUCAAUUCAGUUUUCUUCCCUAGUGACUCCCUUUUCUCUUUGUCCCAACUGCUGUGUUAUGGAAGUUUCUUGACAAAGAUAACAUCGUUCACUAGUGUGUGUUGUAUUCUGCUGACAUGAAGUUUUUAGUCCAGAUCCAACUGAUGAGGUCUCUUAUGGUUAUGGACACCUGAUAAGUACUCGCGAUCAUCUUCGGAUAACGCUGUAAAGUGCUCCUCCACUUUAGAUCUUCUAGCUACUUAUCUUCUGAUAGCGCUGUAAAGUGCUCCUCCACUUUAGGUCUUCUAGCUACUUAUCUUCUGAUAGCGCUGUAAAGUGCUCCUCCACUUUAGGUCUUCUAGCUACUUAUCUUCUUUGCUCUUUUUGUUACCACGCCACUCGAUUUUUGUUGUAUGGAUGUGUAGACCACAUGGUGAGAAUAAUAGAGGUUAAGUUUUGGAAAUCUCAAAGGUUGGGAUUGAUUAUGGGUUCUCUGCACCCACUUGGUCUUUUUGGUGCUUGCAGCCUUGCACUGCAAUCUGGAUAUUGUCAGGCUUCAACAAAAGGGGGGUUUUCAUCUUGUCUAUGGCAUCUCUAGGGGGGUUUCCUCUCCUUUGCACUUAGCUGUUCCCUUCUUUCCUUUGCUUGCAGCCAUGAGCAGUGACUUCUUCUUUUCGUGGAGCGAUCAUGUUUGUCUAUUUUAAGCAGAGGUUUCUUUAGUUCAUUCUUUUACGAGUAUCGAGAUUUUCAUUCAGUUCUCUUCCGUAAUGGUCCCUUUUCACUUUGUUGAAACUACUGUUGUAGUGAAGUUACCCAGCUAGGAUAAUAUUCUCGCCAGUGUGUUAUAUUCUGCUGCGAUGAAGUUUUUACUCCAGAUGCUUAUGUUCUUCGAUGAUUCAAUCGGUGACAGUAACAAAGCACUUAACUUGUCCCUUCUUUCCGUGCUUGCAGCCAUUGGGUUUACAGAGCAGUGAAUUACCCUUUUUUGGAGCGGCCUUGUUUGUACAUUAUGUUGAGGUUUCUUUAGUUCAGUCUUUUUUGAGCAUUGAGAUUCUCAAUUCAGUUUUCUUGGCUAAAUGCUCCUUUUUCUCUUUGUCAAAACUACUGUUGUGUGGAGGUUUAACUGAGAUAAUAUUUUUCACCUGUAGUGUUGUAUUCUGCUUCCAUGAGGUUCUUAGUCCAGAUGGUUAUGUUCUUCGAUGAUCCAACUGAUGAGGUCUCUUAUAGUUAUGGACAGCUGAUAAGCACUCGGUCAUUUUCUGAUAGCACUGUAAAGUGCUCCUCCACUUUUGGUCUUCUAGCCCACUUUUCUUCUCUGCUUCCAGUUUCUUUUGGUUAUCACGCGACUUGUUUUAUUUUUGUUGUAUGGAUGUGUAGACCAUAUGGUGACAGUUACAGAGGUUAUGAUUUGGAAAUUUCAGAGGUACCUCCAUUAUGCUUUCCUCUGCACCCUCUUGGUAUUUUUGGUGCUUGCUCUGCAAUCCGGAUAUUGUUAAGUUUCGACAGAAAGGCGGUUAUUCAAUUUUGUCUAUGGCAUCUUUAGUGAUUUCUAGGUGGUUUGGGUUUGGUCAGCUUUGCACUUGACUGUUUCCUUCUUUCUGUGCUUGCAGCCAUGGGUCUCAUAGAGCAGUGAAGUACUCUUUUCAUGGAGCAGGUCUUGUUUGUCCACGUGUGUUGAUGUUUCUUUAGUUCAGUCUUCUAUGAGUAUCAGGAUUUUCAGUUCAGUUUUCCUUCCUAAUCAGUGUGCUUCCCUUCACUUAUGUUUUUUUUUUUUUUUCCACUUAUGUGUGUUGUGUUCUGCUACCAUGUCUUUUUACGUAAGCAGAUUGUAUAUAUGUAGAUUGUAUAUAUUAAGAAAGGGAGAAAGCUUAGGACCAAGCUGGUGCUAAGACCUUACAGAAAUUUGUGAUCUUUCUAACAAAAACACAUAUUCUGCUGCCAUUUUUAGUUUUUGGUCUAGAUACUUGCUUAUGUUCCUUGAUGACCCAGAUGAGGUCCCUGAUGGUCCAUACUUAUGGACAUUUGGUAAGUACGCAAAAGUCACUUCUGGAUCUUUGGUAGCCCUGUACAGUGUUCUUCUCUCUUGGUGUUCUUGCUGCUUUUCUUCUGCUUCUGUUCUCUUUUUGUGUAUCAUGCCAGCUUGAUGUUUUUGGUGGAUGGAUGUGUGGUGACAGUUAUAGUGGAUUAGAUUUGCAAAGUUGAAAGGUUGGCGUCCGUAUGUGUUCCUCUGCAGCAUGUUUCUUGGUCAUUUUUGUGCUUGCACUGCGAUUUGGAUAUUAUCAGGGCUUCGAGAAAAGGGAGUUUUUGAUCUUGUGUGGCACCUCCAGUGAUUUCCUAGUUGGUAUGGGUUUCACCUGCUUUGUCCACUGAACUGCAUUCCCUUCUUUUUGUGCUUGCAGCUGUUGGGUCUUGCAGAUCUUUUCAUGGAGCGGUGUUGUUUAUCAAUUUGCAUCGAGGUUUCUUUAGUUAAUGCUUUUAAUGAGUAUUGAGAUGUUUGAUUCAGAUUUCAUCCCUGAUCACUUGUUACCUUCUCUCUGUCAAAACUGCUGAUAUGUGGAAGUUCUCAACUAUGAUACUAGUGUAUUUUGUAUUCUGCUGGCGUUUUUAGUUUUUAGUCCAGAUGCUUCCUUGAUGAGAUCCCUGGUGGUUAUGGAUGCCUGAUAAAUUUUGGAUCUUUUGAUAGUGGCUAUGAAAACUUUGGAUCUUUUGGUACUUCUGGUGUUCCCCUAUUUUCUUCUCCACUUCCGUUUUCUCGUGUAUCACACCACUUGAUUUUCUUUGGUUGGAUAGAUGUUUGUAGAGCGCGUUACUGUCCAGAUUAUUGAAAUCUGCUGGCUUUUCUUUGGAUGAUGAACUGUCAUAUCACAAUUCGUAUCCGCUAUUGUUGAUUCCUGUCCUGGACGGGCAGGGAUAGUAUAUGCCCUGUUUAGGGAAUUUGAAGUUUGGCUGGGGGUUUGCUCCACCAGUAUUUGGAUGAUUGCUUGGCUCACAUGGCUGUUUGUACAAAAGUCUCUUACUGUGAGGUAAAUGAUGGGAACUUGGAAAGGACAUAAUGCCAUGUGAUCUUUUUAGGAAGUGUAUCCCCUAAGCAUAGGGUUCUGUCAAUUGAUUUUUUUGGUCUGAAGGAGUCCUCCAUAUCAGCUGUUGUGGAAGGAUACCAGCACAAAGGAGAUACCUUAAAGUAGAAGGAAUGAAAGAAAAAGGACGACAAGUUAUGGGUUUUGCUAGUUCGAUAGACAGGGACGUGAAGGAAGGAAUGUGGUUUUAUUGUACUAUCUUUUGAGAACCUUCAUGUGGUAUAUGUGCAACACCCAAGUCUGGUAGAUCAGUUGGCACCCAGGGAAGUUAAUAACUUCAAUUUACUUUUUAUUUCCUGCAUGCGCUAAAGCAAGAUACUGUGGAUUGAUUUUGUUGCCUUAAACAAGAUCCGAUGAUGUUGGAAGUGAUCUUUUUGGCAGAGAGAUUCACUAGUGAGAUUCUGCUUUCUUCUGUUGGUUAUGCGGGAUACUUCUAUGGUGGUCUUCAAUCUUUGUUUUGUAGGUUUGUGGAGAUUUUCCUUUAGGGGUGGUGGAAAGUAGCGUGUGCUGUGCCUUAUUAUUUUUUUUAGCAGAAUUGUUGAGUAUGCUCCCGUCUCCAAUUUAAAUUUUGAGAAUUUUCAGGAUAAUGAAAUGUUUGCACGGUAUUCUAGCACAAUUACUUGUUUUCAUCGAAGAUGGAGUGUUUCCAACAGUAUUGUAGGUGAAAAUGGAACGUUUCCAACAGUAUUGUGACAAUGACCUUGAAUUUCUAUUCAGACUCGUGUAAUUUUGUCCUUCAAUAUUUUCAGUUAUGAAUGUCACUUAGAAGGUCAUUGCAAAGUCUGAAUCUUGUCGGUACAAUUUUUUAUUGAUUCGAGAAUUUAUCCUAGAUUCUCUCCUAGGUUUUCUCACCUUAUAUCCCAAGUACAGUUGACCUACAUCCUCGCUCAACAAUUCGAGAAAAUUUGUCCUUUUAACCCAGUCUGUUCUUCCCAGUCUCUGUUCCUUCUUUUAUAAUCCAUCUUAUUUACAGGUUGUUCCUUGGCUCUGUCUUGAUUGCAUUUGAGUUGAUGCAUGUUUUUGAAGUCUUGUUUUAUUUUUCAACAUGAUCUUGUCUUGUCUUGGCACCAAAAAUGGUUCUCCUUCCUGUUCCUUUUGUGGUUUUGGUCUAAUUGUUGCUACAUUUUUGUUUAGUUGACCCCUGUAACUCCGCCUGUCAAAUCAGCCGGUCCCCAGCCCGGAUUAAGGAGGAGGGAAGGUGUCAAGUGUGCAGUUAGUCUGCCCAUUCACUGUGUCCCCUUAGUGUCUUGAUCAAUUAGGAUGGAACAAGUGCUUCCUAAUUCUGAUAUUUGUAUUUAUUUAUAUAGGUCAUGUCUGUUAAAUAUCGAUUAUCAGGAAUGUUGUGGCUGCUACAUGAAAUGUCUUGAGAUGGUUUUGGGGCUUGUAUUGGAAAGUUGAUAGAGAAGAUUCAGGCAGGUGGUCUUGGUUAUCAUUCAAUUGAUAAUAUAGAAAUUGUGAUCACUUAAUUUCUUACAUCGUCAGUGAGGAAAAUUCAUCAUUUCUUUGAUGAUCUAGGUGAUCACAAUCUCAGUCUUACAUUUGCUGUGAUUUAGUUGAUGAUCCACUUUACACAGGAAAUAUUGUUUUUAUGUAUUUGGCUUCGAGCUCAAUCUCAACUAGAGGUUAGCCCGGCCAUUGUAUAAGUGUGUGUAUUCAAGAAUCAUGUGAUUUUUUUUUCCCUACAUAGUUGAUGAACCGGUACCACAAAAUACAGCUGAUAGUCCUUGUGUGGCGCAGUAUAGUGUACUCUUUAGCUGUUUGCUGUUGCUACUGGGUUUUCAUGGAUGCUGCAAACUACAUCUACAUAUCAGGUUGCAAUGGUAAACUGCUUGGAAUCGUUGGGCAAGUUUCUGAUGACGUGUGAGGUUCCAAAGCGUGUAGACGACGUCCAGUCUGUUCUCUUCCAUGUCUCCAUCUUCACAUGGGAAAAUUGUUAUACUAAUAAUGUCUAUAGAUGAUUUCCUUCUUGCUGAAAUACAAUAGUUUUUAAUAUUUGUGCAUUCAGGGGUGUGACCUAGUGGUAAACAAAGUGGGUUAGAGAAAAAAUGAAGGUUUCAGGUUCAAAUCCUAGCAAAGGCAAAAACAUUAGGUGAUUCUUAUCAUUUGUUCUAACCUUAUUGGACAGAGUUAUUUGGUGCCUGUGUUUGUAGGAGGUAGUGUAUACCUAGGAUUAGUCAAGGUGCGUGCAAAUUGAGCCAGGAUCAUCAUGAAAUAACAGAAACUUUCCCUAUAGUAUUUGCUAUUUGCUUGUGAGGUUUUGUAGAUGCUGCAAACUUUACCUGAAAAUAUCAAUUUGCAGCGGUAUCAUCGGCAAGAUUGUAGUAUUUUUUUUCUUUCAUGUCACUCCUACAUCCACCUUUGUGUCGGGAAAUCAUUUCGUUAAUGAUGUCUCUAGAUGACUUCCAACUUAAUAUUCAACUAAAUAAGAGGUUCGUGUUUAGCUAGGUUGCAAAUUGGUGUCUAUUCAAGGAUCUUGUGAAUUUCUUAUCUGGAUAGUUAGUGACCCUUAUAUAUCCUCAUUUUCUUUAGAAGUUUCUUGCCUGCUUGCAACAUAAUUAUCUACUAUUGCUUGUGUGUAUUUUCAUGAAUGCUGCAGAGUGCACUCACUGCACACCCAAAUAUCAGUUUGCGAUGGUAAUAACUGUGUGGUAACCUCCUGGAAAUGAGGUGUGUAUGAUGUUUGUGUUGUUUUCAUUGAUGUUGCAGAUAAUGUUCAAUUUCAGUGUGCAAUGAUGUAUUCAAAAUUGGUAUACAAUGCUGUUGCAAAUGGUUCCUCAGGAAGGUCAACACAGUUAAAGAAACUUAAAUAAGUGGGUUUAAAUUUCGAAUAUGAUUUUGUGAGAAAUUUAGAGUGGGUGUUGUUUAGACUUGUUAGAAAUAUUUAAGGAGGUUGUUUGCAAAAUUUUGAGCUGAUUGCUUUCCAACGGCAUAAACAUCAAAGGAUGAGGUAAUCGACAAUGGAGAUAGUACCUGUAGAAGUUGAAAUCGGGGAGAAGUUAAAACAAUAGAAAAAAUAAAGGAGUUGGACGAUGAAGAGCAAAGAUAUAUUUUUAGGUCAUUCCGGGAAAGAACCUCAAAUAUGUGCUCAAUAGACUCAAUUAAUAUACAGUGUAAUUAUGUUUUAAUAAGUCACCUUUUUUUCAGUUUCCGUCUUUAUGAACGAACAAUACUAUGCAAUUACAAUUAUAAGCAUAAAUAAUUUAGCUCAAAGGAAAUAAAAGUGAUAUUUUAUGAAUUUUAUUCUUUCUGUCAUGACAUGAAUCACAAUAUCUUCAGCAAGCUCAAAAAUGUUGUUAAGUGUACAUAAUAAUUUCCUGUAAUCUUCGUUUACUUUUAAUUAUUUUCC
Long non-coding RNA from Lycium barbarum (goji berry), 23849 nucleotides. RefSeq lists it as uncharacterized. NCBI's taxonomy places the organism in Eukaryota, Viridiplantae, Streptophyta, Magnoliopsida, Solanales, Solanaceae. The transcript is spliced from 6 exons. The record is from RefSeq and is a predicted model, not a curated record.